This 624-nucleotide ribosomal RNA is filed under the name uncultured bacterium. Its description in RNAcentral is "bacterial SSU rRNA". It matches the Rfam family "Bacterial small subunit ribosomal RNA", at positions 830 to 1454 of the family's 1533-position model. The record is from RNAcentral.
UCUUGAAGUCUUAGUGGCGCAGCUAACGCACUAAGUUGACCGCCUGGGGAGUACGGCCGCAAGGUUAAAACUCAAAUGAAUUGACGGGGGCCCGCACAAGCGGUGGAGCAUGUGGUUUAAUUCGACGCAACGCGAAGAACCUUACCUGGCCUUGACAUGCAGAGAACUUUCCAGAGAUGGAUUGGUGCCUUCGGGAACUCUGACACAGGUGCUGCAUGGCCGUCGUCAGCUCGUGUCGUGAGAUGUUGGGUUAAGUCCCGUAACGAGCGCAACCCCUAUCCCUAGUUGCUAGCAGUUCGGCUGAGAACUCUAGGGAGACUGCCGGUGACAAACCGGAGGAAGGUGGGGAUGACGUCAGGUCAUCGUGGCCCUUACGGCCAGGGCUACACACGUGCUACAAUGGUGCGUACAGAGGGCUGCAAACCCGCGAGGGGGAGCUAAUCUCACAAAACGCAUCGUAGUCCGGAUCGGAGUCUGCAACUCGACUCCGUGAAGUCGGAAUCGCUAGUAAUCGCGAAUCAGAAUGUCGCGGUGAAUACGUUCCCGGGCCUUGUACACACCGCCCGUCACACCAUGGGAGUGGAUUGCACCAGAAGUGGUUAGUCUAACCUUCGGGAGGACGAU